Molecule: ribosomal RNA, 258 nt
Filed under: uncultured bacterium
Lineage: Bacteria
Description: partial 16S ribosomal RNA
Rfam family: Bacterial small subunit ribosomal RNA
Source: RNAcentral
CGGGAAGCCACCUGGCGACAGGGGGCGGAACCCGAAAGCCUGUCUCAGUUCGGAUUGGAGUCUGCAACCCGACUCCAUGAAGCUGGAUUCGCUAGUAAUCGCGCAUCAGCCACGGCGCGGUGAAUACGUUCCCGGGCCUUGUACACACCGCCCGUCACGCCAUGGGAGUUAGGAGUACCCGAAGCCAGUGACCUAACCGCAAGGGAGGAGCUGUCGAAGGUAAGACUGAUGACUGGGGUGAAGUCGUAACAAGGUACC